This 123-nucleotide transfer RNA is filed under the name Mytilus galloprovincialis (Mediterranean mussel). It matches the Rfam family "tRNA". From Rfam's summary of the family: Transfer RNA (tRNA) molecules are approximately 80 nucleotides in length. Their secondary structure includes four short double-helical elements and three loops (D, anti-codon, and T loops). The record is from Rfam by way of RNAcentral. Lineage: Eukaryota; Metazoa; Mollusca; Bivalvia; Mytilida; Mytilidae.
GUCAGGUUGGCCGAGUGGUCUAAGGCGCCAGACUCAAGGUUAAUACCUUCCCAUUCGUGGGAUCGUGGGAAUGAGUGUUCUGGUCCACGAAUGUGGGCGUGGGUUCGAAUCCCACAUCUGACA